AUUAUUCGCUAUAUUAUAGGCUAUGAGUCUAUUAGUUAUUCAAUGACAAUAAAACUGCAAUAAACCUCCAUUUAAUAAACAUAUUUGUUGUUUUAAAAUGUAAUAGAAUUGUAAAUGUUUCUAAUAAAAGAUCAAAUUAAUGAUCACAAUUCAGCCUCUUCUUUCCUCAGUAGCUGUCAGUAAAACAUUCUACCCCAGGUUUCAGUUAAGAAACGUAUAGAUUUCACAAGAAAUGUAAUUUUUAUAUUAUUCAUUUCAAAGAAAUGUCUAAUAAUCAGAACUAAAAACUUUCCUUUCACUCCAAUUUGGUUUCAGUUAUUAAUGCAAAUGGCUAUAUAGCAUUUGUUCCGCAAAAACGUUGUAAUAAUAAUAAUUACUAAUAUUAUUACCAUUAUUAUUAAAAUGCUACGUUAAGAUUGAAUUCUGCAUUUUUAAAACGCAUUGUUUUCCGUAUUAUCUGUUGGAAAUAGAAUAGCUACGCAUUUAUAUUGUAUAGCUGCUGACAGACGUAAACGUUUGCGUUCACGCUGAGCAUCACUCGCGCACGCUCUCUGAAUUCCUUGGAGUUGCCGGGUGGCAUUUGACUGAGGUUUUUUUAAUGGUGUGUCUCUGACCGGAAAUAACGGUUGUGCGCGCACCGGAACAGUGGGAUUCAUAAAAUGGUACAGUAGUGACCCCACGCGUAAUCACGCAUUGCUCAUGGGAGAGUCCGUGCAGCUUUCAGCACCGAUGCCCUCUAAUAGGAUCCCACGAGAAGCGUCUCAUAUGGCCCACUGGCGCCUCCGGAGGGGCACGUGAAAUGGAUACUCCGCGUCCCCAAACCCCAUGUUUUGCUAUUUUAAUGGUACCCACACCGGUCUCUAAUACAACCGACUAAUUCAAGCCAAAACAUCCCGAUCUGUGCGAGCUCUAAGUGGCGCGGCUGAAGGCGAGUCAAGAGUGGUUUUAAAUCAGGUGAUGAUUGCUAGGACACACGCGGGGCAUCCGCUCUCCUCUCAGCACGUUAGUUAGUGCCCAUCAUCCUUAGAUGCCCCUGGUUAUAUAGACGCAGAUUAAACGAAUGUGUAAAAUUGCAAAAAGAACGAGACGUCCACGUGCUAAUUGCAAGUUUAGAGAUUACCAAAGGAGGAGAACGAAUCUCCAGAGAUCUGCCCUCUGACACCUCAGAGUUCCGGUGUCUCACAAACAGCAUCCCUCUGCGCUCUCUACCACAGCAAAUUACCAAAGGUAUUUUAACCUUGCCAUAGUUCUUAACCUGACAGAUGAAUGGACAGAUCUUGUUUCUUGCAGCGGUGUAUCAGGUUUUCCAGAGAUUGCAGGUGUGAUAAAUCAAAGAUAGUUAUUUUCAGUUAUCUUAAACUGAACUUUUACAGAUGCUCACUGCAUGCAUGUAAAAAGUAUAAGGAUAUGGUAAGACUGUGAGUCUGUCUCUCUCUUCCUCCUUGGUGGGUGGGCUGGUCAAAAGAAAAUAAAAGCGGGAUAUAAGAUUAAUCGUCCUGUCCUGGAGCAGCGUUAUGUGUAGAGCUUAAAAUAGCCACUGUUUUCCACAGUCACUCUCAGACUGAGCUCUCUCAUCUUCCCUGACGCUAAAACCCUGAAAGUUCUUCUGGAGAAACGGUGACAGACAGCAACAGGGACACGGACGCAAGCGAGGAGAGAGACGAGGGCACGGAGUGCAGUCUGGGAUGAACGCUGACCUGGAGUGGAUCGGCUGUCAGAUAUUAUCAAGAUGUCUUGCAGCUGUGCAUGUGUUGUAUUUGCGGAUGUGUGUGUGGCUUGUGUUUAUGUUUGUGUGUGUUUUGGGGUAGGGAGGCUGGGAGUGGUGGUGUUACUCCCCUGCGUUCGAGCCGCUAACUGCCAAGGUCAAUGUCCACAGUUGGAAUGCACAAGUGCUUUGCCUUGUCGCGAAGUUUUAAGGAGGACGCAACAACGCCGGACACGAAUACUUUCAAAGAAAAAUCGUUUUAAACAAUGCAAGGGAGAUGCCGUGCUGCUGGGCUCUUUGGCAGGUGUUGCUCAAAACAAAGUGAAACCCUUACAGCGAUUGUCAGUGGUCAACGAUACAGCCUUUGUAAGUUAUUGCAUGAAGAUGGAAACAAUAAUUCAUCUUUGGGGUGUAUCUAUUGUUGUAAAUCCGUGAUGCGCUGAAUUAUUGCUUAAAACGGUGCAUUUUUUAAAGAAGACACAAACAUAAACGUUCAAAAUAAUGUUCUAAUAAACACAUUCCACGUUCAGAUGUCAAAGUACAUGAAGCCAUGGAAAUGCACACAUGCACAAACAC
Puntigrus tetrazona (Sumatra barb) is the source of this 2281-nucleotide long non-coding RNA. RefSeq lists it as uncharacterized. Lineage: Eukaryota; Metazoa; Chordata; Actinopteri; Cypriniformes; Cyprinidae. The record is from RefSeq and is a predicted model, not a curated record. The transcript is spliced from 3 exons.